RNAcentral lists this ribosomal RNA (462 nucleotides) under uncultured bacterium. RNAcentral's name for it is "partial 16S ribosomal RNA". It matches the Rfam family "Bacterial small subunit ribosomal RNA", at positions 28 to 507 of the family's 1533-position model. The record is from RNAcentral.
GAUGAACGCUGACAGAAUGCUUAACACAUGCAAGUCUUUGGCGAAGCUGUGCUUGCACAGCCUAGCCAAGGCGGACGGGUGAGUAACGCGUAAGGAACUUGCCCUGCAGUCAGGGAUAACAGACGGAAACGACUGAUAAGACCUGGUAAAGUCAGGCGGACUCAUGUCCAGCCUGAUGAAAAGAGAUGCUGCAGGAGAGCCUUGCGUCCUAUUAGCUUGUUGGUGGGGUAACGGCCCACCAAGGCGAUGAUAGGUAGCCGGCCUGAGAGGGUGGACGGCCACAAGGGGACUGAGAUACGGCCCUUACUCCUACGGGAGGCAGCAGUGGGGAAUAUUGGACAAUGGGGGCAACCCUGAUCGAGCAAUUCUGUGUGGACGAUGAAGGUUUUCGGAUUGUAAAGUGCUUUCAGCAGGGAAGAAAAAAUGACGGUACCUGCAGAAGAAGCGACGGCUAAAUACGUG